AAUAGAUACCCGGGUAGUCCAUGCCGUAAACGUUGGGCACUAGGUGUGGGGGACAUUCCACGUUUUCCGCGCCGUAGCUAACGCAUUAAGUGCCCCGCCUGGGGAGUACGGCCGCAAGGCUAAAACUCAAAGGAAUUGACGGGGGCCCGCACAAGCGGCGGAGCAUGCUGAUUAAUUCGAUGCAACGCGAAGAACCUUACCAAGGCUUGACAUGCACUGGACGGCUGCAGAGAUGUGGCUUUCUUUGGACUGGUGCACAGGUGGUGCAUGGUUGUCGUCAGCUCGUGUCGUGAGAUGUUGGGUUAAGUCCCGCAACGAGCGCAACCCUCGUUCUAUGUUGCCAGCACGUGAUGGUGGGGACUCAUAGGAGACUGCCGGGGUCAACUCGGAGGAAGGUGGGGACGACGUCAAAUCAUCAUGCCCCUUAUGUCUUGGGCUUCAAGCAUGCUACAAUGGUCGGUACAAUGGGUUGCGAAACUGUGAGGUGGAGCGAAUCCCAAAAAGCCGGCCUCAGUUCGGAUUGGGGU
Molecule: ribosomal RNA, 527 nt
Filed under: uncultured bacterium
Lineage: Bacteria
Description: bacterial SSU rRNA
Rfam family: Bacterial small subunit ribosomal RNA
Source: RNAcentral